UACAUUCAAAGAGUGCGUAAUAGCUCACUAGUCGAGAGGUCCUGCGCCGAAAAUGAACCGGGGCUAAACACGACACCGAAGCUCAGGAAUCCGAAAGGAUUGGUAGAGGAGCAUUGCUGAAGCGACGAAGCAGUACCGAAAGGAGCUGUGGAGUUUCAGGAAGAGAGAAUGCCGGAAUGAGUAGCGAGAGAAAGGUGAGAAUCCUUUCGGCCGAAUAUCCAAGGUUUCCAGGGUAAAGCUGAUCUGCCCUGGGUAAGUCGGGGCCUAAGGCGAGGCAGAAAUGCGUAGUCGAUGGACAGCAGGUUGAGAUUCCUGCACCCGUAAUGAACAGAACUGUAGUGACACGGAAGGUAAGACAGAGCCGGGAAUGAGAAAACCGGUGCAAGCACAAUAGAUGUGUGGGAGGAAAAACCCCCGCAUAAGUCGAAGGUGUGAUGCGGACCGAAAAAGAGUAGGGAAGCUGUUAAGCAAGCCGUCAAGAAAAGCUGCUAUUGUUUCAUUAUGGCCCGUACCGUAAACCGACACAGGUGGAUGGGGAGAGAAUCCUAAGGCCGGCGGAAGAAGUAUUGUUAAGGAACUCGGCAAAAUGACCCCGUAACUUCGGGAGAAGGGGUGCCUGCGAGAGCAGGCCGCAGAGAAGAGGCCCAAGCAACUGUUUAGCAAAAACACAGGUCUAUGCAAAACCGAAAGGUGAGGUAUAUGGGCUGACGCCUGCCCGGUGCUGGAAGGUUAAGGGGAGUGGUCAGGAAACGAAGCCACGAACUUAAGCCCCAGUAAACGGCGGCCGUAACUAUAACGGUCCUAAGGUAGCGAAAUUCCUUGUCGGGUAAGUUCCGACCCGCACGAAAGGCGUAAUGAUUUGGGCGCUGUCUCGACAAUACAUCCGGUGAAAUUGAAGUGCCAGUGAAGAUGCUGGCUACCUGCGCCAGGACGGAAAGACCCCAUGGAGCUUUACUCCAGCUUGAUACUGGGACCCGGUAUUGCAUGUACAGGAUAGGUGGGAGGCUAGGAAAUGUGGACGCCAGUCUGCAUGGAGCCGCCGUUGGGAUACCACCCUUGUGGUGCUGGGUUUCUAACCAGAGGCCGUGAACCGGUCUGGGGACAAUGUCAGGUGGGGAGUUUGACUGGGGCGGUCGCCUCCGAAAGGGUAUCGGAGGCGCCCAAAGGUUCCCUCAGAAUGGUUGGAAACCAUUCGAAGAGUGCAAAGGCAGAAGGG
This 1216-nucleotide ribosomal RNA is filed under the name human gut metagenome. Its description in RNAcentral is "bacterial LSU rRNA". It matches the Rfam family "Bacterial large subunit ribosomal RNA", at positions 1118 to 2365 of the family's 2925-position model. The record is from RNAcentral.